Molecule: long non-coding RNA, 291 nt
Filed under: Carica papaya (papaya)
Lineage: Eukaryota; Viridiplantae; Streptophyta; Magnoliopsida; Brassicales; Caricaceae
Description: long non-coding RNA (CPAP_LNC004400)
Source: RNAcentral
GAAAAUGAAUUUGGUUAAAAAGUAACGUGCUUGAGGAGUGACAAUGGUGGUGAGUUUAUGUCAACAGAUUUCUUUCAGCUUUGUUAGAAGAAUGACAUUCAGAGAUAAUGACAUAUCCCAAUACCUCUUAGUAUAAUGAGGCUGCAGCAAGAAAGUUGACACUUAUGGCCUCAACAAGUCUUGCAUGACUACAUGACCAAAAUCUCCCUCAAGAGCUUUAGGCUGAAACUUUUCAGUGUACAUGUCAUGUAAUAAAUUAUUUACCUAACAUGAUUCUUCUUUUCAGAUCUU